AUAUUGGACAAUGGGGGCAACCCUGAUCCAGCCAUGCCGCGUGUGUGAAGAAGGUCUUCGGAUUGUAUAGCACUUUAAGUUGGGAUGAAGGGCGUCAUGCUAAUACCUUGAUGUUUUGACGUUACCAACAGCAUGAGCACCGUCUAUCUCUGUGCCAGCAGCCGCGGUAAUACAUAGGGUGCAAGCGUCAAUCGGAAUUACUGGGCGUAAAGCGCGCGGAGGUGGUUCAGUAAGAUGGGUGUGAAAUCCCCGGGCUCAACCUGGGAACUGCUUGCAUAACUGCUGAGCUAGAGUACGGUAGAGGGUAGUGGAAUUUCCUGUGUAGCGGUGAAAUGCGUAGAUAUAGGAAGGAACACCAGUGGCGAAGGCGACUACCUGGACUGAUACUGACACUGAGGUGCGAAAGCGUGGGGAGCGAAC
RNAcentral lists this ribosomal RNA (420 nucleotides) under uncultured bacterium. RNAcentral's name for it is "partial 16S ribosomal RNA". It matches the Rfam family "Bacterial small subunit ribosomal RNA", at positions 361 to 773 of the family's 1533-position model. The record is from RNAcentral.